UUCGCUUUGUUGUAAUUUCAGAGCAAGCAAUUUGCUUGAUUUACAACGUUAAAAUAGUAAUUUUGCCCCACUCUGUGCAUUAUGAACUCAGCUCUCCUUAGCAGAUCAUUCAGCUCUGUUCGACUUGUGACUAGAAGAGUAUGUGGAAACACUGGUUGC
Sander lucioperca (pikeperch) is the source of this 159-nucleotide long non-coding RNA. RefSeq lists it as uncharacterized. The record is from RefSeq and is a predicted model, not a curated record. NCBI's taxonomy places the organism in Eukaryota, Metazoa, Chordata, Actinopteri, Perciformes, Percidae. The transcript is spliced from 3 exons.